Molecule: ribosomal RNA, 484 nt
Filed under: uncultured bacterium
Lineage: Bacteria
Description: bacterial SSU rRNA
Rfam family: Bacterial small subunit ribosomal RNA
Source: RNAcentral
AAUCAACGCUGGCGGCGUGCCUCAGACAUGCAAGUCGAACGAUUAAGACUCUCUUCGGAGAGUGUAUAAAGUGGCGCACGGGUGAGUAACACGUAGGUAAUGUACCGAAGGGUGGGGAAUAACUUAGGGAAACUUAAGCUAAUACCGCAUAAUGCAGCGGCUCGACAUCGAGACAGUUGUUAAAGGAGCAAUCCGCCUUUUGAGCAGCCUGCGGCAGAUUAGCUAGUUGGUAAGGUAAUGGCUUACCAAGGCUACGAUCUGUAACCGACCUGAGAGGGUGGUCGGUCACACUGACACUGAAUAACGGGUCAGACUCCUACGGGAGGCAGCAGUCGGGAAUUUUGGGGCAAUGGGCGAAAGCCUGACCCAGCAACGCCGCGUGAAGGAUGAAGUAUUCGGUAUGUAAACUUCGUAAGAAUAGGAAGAAUAAAUGACGGUACUAUUUGUAAGGUCCGGCUAACUACGUGCCAGCAGCCGCGGUAAU